AGGACAUAGAAGCUUAAGUUAUAGACAACAGAGUGGGGAGAACUGAUGAUUGUACCAGUUGAAGCCGGUACCAGUCAUCGCGUGGAGCAACUAGAGAAAAGUGGUUUGAGGUAGAUUUUUAGGUUGGUAAGCAGCAAAAAUGGUGUUGUGCAUGUCAACCAGUAGAUAACAUAUAAAUAAACAAUUCAAUCUCAGGAACGACGAAACAUCCACAGGCAAUAAUCACCAUGUUCGUAACUACAAUUUUCAUUUAUCAUCGCUGCUUGGGAAUAGAAUGUCAACAAGCAGAAAAUUUGCACCAGAUGUCUUAAGAAUUUUCACAAAAUGAUAAUCAAUUCCCAUUGCCAUGGUUGAGUUCCAUGUAGACAAUAAAUAACAAAGCAAUCAUUCAAAAUAUCUUUUGUUUUACAUAAAACAUAAAUGCACGGUUGCAUUUAACAGCUGAGGAGGAAUUGGUCAACCCAUGGCAUACUUCUGUGUCCAGCUGCGUGCGGUGGCUUCAUACUUGGUCCUGUCAGUCUUGUACAUAUGUGCAAUUUCAGGCACAAGAGGGUCAUCGGGAUUUGGAUCCGUCAACAAUGAGCAGAUUGACAAAAGCACCUAAAAUAGUGAAUGUUAGGUUUAUUUUUUGCAAGAUUUAGAACAACAUGACACAUAAGAACAACAACAUUACAAAUACAGGUCACUAAACACGGAAAAAGACAAUACAUACAGUUCUUAAAUUAAAUUCCUAUCAAUCAUAUGAUCAACUUAUCAAAGUGACACAAACUAUAUCUCAAGUCAACGGAGAAUAGAUAUCUAUAUUCAGCUACUUUUAGAUUCAAAAUAUUAACUAAUCUGAAUUUUACUCUUGUGAACUAAUAUUCCAAAAAGAUACAGUUCUUCGGUGCUUUUAAAAGCUGGAGUGUAAACAAAUCAUGAAUUAUUUUCUUGUGCUAGAUUUUCAAAUCUAUGAAUGCUACUGAGAGUACUGAGCUUUCCCAAAAAAAUGACACCAACACAAGUAACACAUCAAACAUGUUAAACACGCCAAGAGACAAGUGUAAUCUGUAUCAAUAGAACUACUAAGAGUGCAAAAUACAUGCAUAGACAAAUUUGACAUGUGAAAAUAAAUUCAACAUGCUCCAUUUUCCAAACAAUUAACAAAGCUUGUCACUCUAAAUCCUUAUACAAAACAAAUCAUUAAUUAUCAAGAACAACAAGUAAAAUCAAACCUUGGAAAUGGUCAGUGCGGGGCUCCAUUGUUCCUUAAGAAUGUCGAGACAAAUACUUCCAUUGCUGUUGAUGUUUGGGUGGAAUACCUUAGUCCUAAAUGCAACCUGCAGCAUUGCAAGACAAUAACUCGGUCAUUUCUCAAAUAUUAAACAAGAUACAAAGUAGAAGAUGUUUAAACUUGAUAACUAUACUGUACUUGGCUGCAUAAAUUUAAUAAAUCACCUCAUCAGCAAGAAAAGGAAAAUCUUCCUAACAUAAAACAAUGUUCAGAUGGGUUGAUGUCAAUACUAACAACAUCCCCGAAUUUCAUUGGUUUGAGAAUGUUUUAUACAUGUCUUUGAAAUCAAGAAACAAAAUGUAAUCAAGAUGGUAUUUUUUUUAAAUUAUUAAAAAAAAAGUUGUCUCAAGAGACAAUUGUGAGCGUGUGGAUGAACACACGCAGGCAAUCGAAACUGGGACCAAAAGAUCGGUGGAAAACAAAAAAGGAAGACGUACACAGAACAAAACAGCCAACCAAUAAUCAUUAUUUUUUUCAAUUAACAAAUGGCUAGUAAGCAACAGUUUGCAAUACACUCAGGCUCUCAGCCACUUCAGCAUUGAGGUAAGGUAGACCUUGCAAGUUGCAACACAAAUAGCCUGAGGUUUCUUGAGGCAGGUUUAUGUUGGGUAACCCCACUAGCUUAUUUGCUUGAGAUAAUUAAAGAGCGAGGGGAUAGUAUAAAUAAGAGAUUGUAGGAGACAAGUGCAAAACUAUUAUUAAGUCCUUACUUGGUACGACCUUGGAGAACACACAGGAUCGAUUUUAUGGAAAAUGAUCAAUAUAAAAGCAGUUUCAAGCACAAACAGUACAAGCCCAAAAUGGGAGAAGCAAACUUGUUAUGAAGGCGGAGCUUGAUCAAUAAUUUUGAGGGGAGCAAAUAUAAUAUUCAUUUAAUGUUCAAUAAAAGAUUUGCAUCUUGGCGUAGUGGUAUGAACGAGCUUCCGUUUACCUAACGUCUGCGGUUCUUGACCUCCUCGUAACAGUUUUUUUUUUCAAAAAAACGAAAAACAAAAUGGUCACUGUUGGGAUCGAUUGCCUGCAAAACAUUCACCCCUCAAAACAGACCCGCCACCACGCGGCUAGAUAGAUUUGAUGUUCGCGGGAAGACUUGCAAUAUUAUAUGCACGCACAAACACGCGCCAAAAAGAAUAAAACUUUUAAAAGAUCUGCUUCUGUUUAGAAGCAAUUUGAACAAAAACCAAACAAAUCUCAAUAAAUUUUAAACAUAAAAGCACAGAUCAUCAUACAUAAAAGCAACUAAUGUAAAUAAAAAGCUAGGGUUUCAAUACCUUUGGUGGCUUGAAUGGAUAAUCCGGAGGAAAAUGAAUUGAAACCAAAAACACACCACCAGCAUAGGGGCUAUCAGCAGGUCCCAUGAUUGUUGCUUGCCAAUGAAACAUGUCCUCAGCCACAGGACCUAAAACACAAAACAUCAUCAUCAACAACAACAACAAAAUAUUAUUAUUAAAAUAAAAACAUCAAAACAACUAGCUUCAUAAACCAUAACAUAUCUAACAAAUAAUUUGGAAUCCUAAAAUUUCAUGUAUAUAAUCCUAAAUCCAAAUCACCUCAAAAACCCUUCAAAUAACAGAUCCAUAACAAAUCAUUGAUAAAAACAAUAAAACAACAAAAGGGUAUCCAAAUUUUCAAAAAUAAAUCAUUAAAAUCUUAUUAUUAUGCAUCAAACUAUAAAAGCUAAAAAUCAAAACUUUAUGUGUUAAAUAUAUUCUAUAUGAUAAAAGAAAAAAAGGGUUUGUUUGUUUUUUUCACCUGCGCUGCAUGAUGUUGGUGGAUCCUUCUGCAAAUCCUUGAGCUCCUUGAGGAUCCGUUUCGAUGCCAUGCUCAAAUCAAAGGAGAGAGAGAGAGAGAGAUUAG
RNAcentral lists this long non-coding RNA (3130 nucleotides) under Medicago truncatula (barrel medic). RNAcentral's name for it is "lncRNA gene16202". Lineage: Eukaryota; Viridiplantae; Streptophyta; Magnoliopsida; Fabales; Fabaceae. The record is from RNAcentral.